This 389-nucleotide transfer-messenger RNA is filed under the name Candidatus Tayloriibacteriota bacterium. It matches the Rfam family "transfer-messenger RNA". From Rfam's summary of the family: Bacterial tmRNA, also known as 10Sa RNA or SsrA, is named for its dual tRNA and mRNA-like properties. Its role is to liberate the mRNA from a stalled ribosome. The record is from RNAcentral. Lineage: Bacteria; Candidatus Tayloriibacteriota.
GGGAAUGAAAGGUUUCGACAGAACUUUGACAUCAGUUGAUAUACAAGACGAGCCUGUCUUGAUCUCGUAAAUCCCAAGACAAACGUUAAACGCAAAAGCUUUAACUUCAAAGGUUAAGGACGCAUUUGCUACUGCAUUUGCUACUUCUCCUGCCACUGCUUAAGUGGCCCUGCUUAUAAGAGGUUAUCCCGGACUUAUAAGUCAGGUUUAUUCGGGGUUGCAUUUUUAUCUAGAUUGAUUUACUUUGGAUAAAAGUAAGAAAAAUGUAAAUCGACUUCGUGGAUUAUUUGUUAGUUUCUUUCCGCGUAGCUAUUAAACUAACUAAUCUUGUGAAUAAUCAACUGAUAGAUGAGCUUUGGACGGGGGUUCAAUUCCCCCCAUUUCCACCC